Molecule: ribosomal RNA, 202 nt
Filed under: uncultured bacterium
Lineage: Bacteria
Description: partial 16S ribosomal RNA
Rfam family: Bacterial small subunit ribosomal RNA
Source: RNAcentral
GUAGUCUGCAACCCGGCCUACAUGAAGCUGGAAUCGCUAGUAAUCGCGGAUCAGAAUGCCGCGGUGAAUACGUUCCCGGGUCUUGUACACACCGCCCGUCACACCAUGGGAGCCGGAAAUGCCCGAAGUCAGUGACCCAACCGCAAGGAGGGAGCUGCCGAAGGUGGAGCUGGUAACUGGGGUGAAGUCGUAACAAGGUAAC